GUCCACGCCGUAAACGUUGGGCACUAGGUGUGGGCCUCAACCAACGGGGUCCGUGCCGUCGCUAACGCAUUAAGUGCCCCGCCUGGGGAGUACGGCCGCAAGGCUAAAACUCAAAGGAAUUGACGGGGGCCCGCACAAGCAGCGGAGCGUGUUGCUUAAUUCGAUGCAACGCGAAGAACCUUACCUGGGCUUGACAUGUAGGGAAAAGCCGUAGAGAUACGGUGUCCUUCGGGCCGUUACACAGGUGGUGCAUGGCUGUCGU
Molecule: ribosomal RNA, 262 nt
Filed under: uncultured bacterium
Lineage: Bacteria
Description: partial 16S ribosomal RNA
Rfam family: Bacterial small subunit ribosomal RNA
Source: RNAcentral